RNAcentral lists this ribosomal RNA (2449 nucleotides) under Mycoplasmataceae bacterium. Its description in RNAcentral is "partial 23S ribosomal RNA". It matches the Rfam family "Bacterial large subunit ribosomal RNA", at positions 1269 to 2925 of the family's 2925-position model. The record is from RNAcentral. Lineage: Bacteria; Bacillati; Mycoplasmatota; Mollicutes; Mycoplasmatales; Mycoplasmataceae.
GGUCGUGGACUGUAUAGAAGAGAGAAUGCCGGCAUAAGUAGCGAGAAUGGAGUGAGAAACUCCAUCGUCGAAAGUCUAAGGUUUCCUGGGGAAGGUUCGUCCGCCCAGGGUUAGUCGGGUCCUAAGGAGAGGCCGAUAGGCGUAUCUGAUGGAAAACAGGUAGAAUAUUCCUGUACCCAAGAUAGUCGAUACACGAUGCAAUGACACAGAAGGAUAGUCCCACCCUGGUGAUGAUAGACUGGGGGCAAAUCAGGAGGCUGGUAAGUAGUGAAGCACGCUUAUCAUAAGGCUGGCUGAUGAUGCACAAAGAAAACUAGUAAAUAAAGGGAUGAAUUCACGCUGGCGAGAAAAGUUGCUAAGGAGACUAUUGCGUGCCCGUACCGCAAACCGACACAGGUAGACGGCAAGAAAAUUGCAAGACGAGCGGGAGAACCAUUGUUAAGGAACUCUGCAAAAUGACCCCGUAAUUUCGAGAGAAGGGGAGCCUUAUGUGGUGACGCAUGAGGCCGCAGUGAAGAGGCCCAAGCGACUGUUUAUCAAAAACACAGGUUUCUGCAAAAGCGCAAGCUGAAGUAUAGGAGCUGACGCCUGCCCAGUGCUGGAAGGUUAAGGGGAAGUGUUAGAGCAAUCGAAGCACUGAACUUAAGCCCCAGUGAACGGCGGCCGUAACUAUAACGGUCCUAAGGUGGCCUUCAAAAUGCCUUAGAAAAACUUAACUAAAUGCUGGAAAAUCCGGUGUAUAUUGUGUUACUUCCAUUGAAAAAUUUUUGUAAAAAAACUGAAAAAAAUCAGCAAAUAUUCAGAAAUAAUUUUCAAGAAAUUCAUAGUAGUAUAGAUGCUAUGAGUGACGAAGUAAAAACACACAAUUGCGGACAAUCAGCAGGAAAGACUGCGAUUAACGAAUAUGAAAAAUGAUUUCUAGCUGGUGUGAUUGAAGGUGAAGGAUCGUUUUGUGCAUCUGUGAAACGACAAUUAAAUUGUCAUCAUAAGAUCCAAAUUGACCCUGAAUUCUUCAUCUACCAACAUAAAGUUCGUCGAGGUUUGUUAGAACUUGCACAAAAAGUUUUCGCGAUUGGUCGUAUAAGACCAAAAGGCGGUAAUCCUAAUGUGUUAGUUUACAAAGUGACACGGACUGAAGAAAUUGUUAAAAUCAUUAUUCCUUUUCUUGAAAAAUAUAUGAUUUAUUCUUACAGAAAAAACGAUAUUGAAAAGUUCAAACAAGUUGCACAAAUUUGUUACGACAAUAAACAUUUGUCUAAAGAACAAUUAAUUCAGUUAAUAAACAUCGCAUAUUCCAUGAAUAUGAAUGGUUAAGAAUCGAAAAUUAAAUAAGCAAGAGUUAAUCAACAGAAUCCUCAGAGACUACACGUUAAGCACAUAAUAAAAUAUGUGAAGAUAUAGUCCGAACCUCAUGGCGACAUGAGGAUGUUGGCAGAAAUGUCAACACAAUACUAUGCAAAUAGUAUGAGUAACAAUCUUGAGCGAAAUUCCUUGUCGGGCAAAUUCCGUCCCGCUUGAAUGGCGUAAUCAUCUCUUGACUGUCUCGACAAUAGACUCGGUGAAAUCCUGGUGUGGGUGAAGACGCCCACUUGGUGUGAUUGGACGGAAAGACCCCAUGAAGCUUUACUGUAACUUAAUAUUGAGAAAAUAUCUUGUAUUUAGAGCAUAGGCGGGAGACUUUGAAACAGCGACGCUAGUUGCUGCGGAGUCAACACUGUAAUACCGCCAUUACAAUAUGUUUUUUCUAACUUCCACCAGUUACCCUGGUGCAGGACAGUGUUAGGCGGGCAGUUUGACUGGGGCGGUCGCCUCCCAAAAAGUAACGGAGGCGCGCAACGGUACCCUCAGCACGGUUGGAAAUCGUGCCCUGAGCGUAAUGGUAUAAGGGUGCUUGACUGCGAGACUUACUAGUCGAGCAGGUAAGAAAUUAGGUCAUAGUGAUCCGGUGGUUCCGAAUGGAAGGGCCAUCGCUCAACGGAUAAAAGCUACUCUGGGGAUAACAGGCUGAUACUAUCCAAGAGUUCAUAUCGACGAUAGUGUUUGGCACCUCGAUGUCGACUCAUCUCAUCCUGGGGCUGUAGUAGGUCCCAAGGGUUCGGCUGUUCGCCGAUUAAAGAGAUACGUGAGUUGGGUUCAAACCGUCGUGAGACAGGUUGGUCCCUAUCUGUCAUACCCGUAGGAAGAUUGAGAAGAGCUGCUCCUAGUACGAGAGGAUCGGAGUGGAGAUACCUCUAAUGUUUCAGUUGUCAUGCCAAUGGCACAGCUGGGUAGUUACGUAUCGCACGGAUAAACGCUGAAAGCAUAUAAGCGUGAAACCGCCUUCAAGAUAAAUCUUCCCUCCCCGCAAGGGGUUAAGAAUCGUUGUAGACUACAACGUUGAUAGGUUAGAGUUGUAAGUGCUGCGAAGCAUUAAGAUGACUAAUACUAAUAAUUCGAGCGACUUAAUAUA